GAAAAGAAACCAACAGGGAUUGCCUCAGUAACGGCGAGUGAAGCGGCAAAAGCUCAAAUUUGAAAUCUAGCACCUUCGGUGUUCGAGUUGUAAUUUGAAGAUGGUAACCUUGGGUUUGGCUCUUGUCUAUGUUCCUUGGAACAGGACGUCAUAGAGGGUGAGAAUCCCGUCUGAUGAGAUGCCCAUUCCUAUGUAAGGUGCUAUCGAAGAGUCGAGUUGUUUGGGAAUGCAGCUCUAAGUGGGUGGUAAAUUCCAUCUAAAGCUAAAUAUUGGCGAGAGACCGAUAGCGAACAAGUACAGUGAUGGAAAGAUGAAAAGAACUUUGAAAAGAGAGUGAAAAAGUACGUGAAAUUGUUGAAAGGGAAGGGCAUUAGAUCAGACUUGGUGUUUUACGAUUAUCUUCUCUUCUUGAGUUGUGCACUCGUAUUUCACUGGGCCAGCAUCGAUUCGGAUGGCAAGAUAAUGGCAGUUGAAUGUGGCUUCACUUCGGUGGAGUGUUAUAGCUUCUGCUGAUAUUGCCUGUCUGGAUCGAGGGCUGCGUCUUUUGACUAGGAUGCUGGCGUAAUGAUCUAAUGCCGCCCGUC
Molecule: ribosomal RNA, 584 nt
Filed under: Hansenula anomala
Lineage: Eukaryota; Fungi; Ascomycota; Saccharomycetes; Phaffomycetales; Wickerhamomycetaceae
Description: LSU rRNA
Rfam family: Eukaryotic large subunit ribosomal RNA
Source: RNAcentral